Long non-coding RNA from Columba livia (rock pigeon), 927 nucleotides. RefSeq lists it as uncharacterized. The transcript is spliced from 4 exons. NCBI's taxonomy places the organism in Eukaryota, Metazoa, Chordata, Aves, Columbiformes, Columbidae. The record is from RefSeq and is a predicted model, not a curated record.
GAAUAGUUUAUUACGUGGAUUUGCUGUAUAGAAAUGUCUCUUCAUGCUCUGCCUGUUCAUAAAAGGAUAUGAGCAACAAUCUGCCUCAGCUGCAAUGACUUAAAUCUUCUUAUUCAGAAUCAGAGAGAGCUUCAAAUUUCUUCUCCAGAUAAUGACAAAUCUAACACUUUACUUCCAGGGAAAUCAGGUCUGGGAUGUACAGACCAACCUGAAGAAUCAUCUUGGCUGUCUAUAUAAAAUCCUUUAAUAAGCACUGUCCAAAACUUCUGGCUACUAGUGAGACAACCUGUCCCUCCCACCGUUGCCUCACACGAGGAGCUACAGUGAUAACCACCAACAGCACAGCUGUAGCUUUGUUCCAUGCCGAUACCCAAGACUGAUGUGUCAACUGCCUAAUGGAUGGAGAAAGGGGCAGAAAGGGCCUUGGCCUGCUUUAAAGAGGAUAAAGAGGGAACAGUCCAAGUUUGGAGGGGAAAUCCUCUAUCACAGUUAUAAACCAGCAUGAAGACAGUGUUGGACACGGUAAGUGCCUUUCAUUCUAUAGGCUAAUGCUUAGGGCACUCGAUUGGUAAAGACCUUGUUCAAGAUGCAUGCUCCAUGGGGAUACAUGAAUGUAGGACACCACCACUGAAUUAAAAACAAACAAACAAAAAACAAAAACUCAAACAAACAAAAAGCCACCACAAAUAACAACAACAAAGCAAACCAACCAACCAACCAACCAACCAACACAAACGAAAAACUCCACAAACAAGUAGAGACAAGUAGGUUUUCCACUCUCAUAUCAGUUUUUACUCCCCAGGCUAAAAGGCUGGGAUAUUUCUUCUCUAUUGUCCUUCUAGCCUUCUAACCAUUGCAUUUUUAGAUAUAGCUAAGAUUUUCUUGAGUCAGAACCAUACAUUUAAGUUCAUAGUGUUUCUUCUGUUU